GCCCAUUUGAGGGGGAUACCAGUUGGAAACGACUGUUAAUACCGCAUAAUAUCUGUGGAUUAAAGGUGGCUUUCGGGCUGUCGCAGAUGGAUGAGCCUGCGUUGGAUUAGCUAGUUGGUGGGGUAAGGGCCUACCAAGGCUACGAUCCAUAGCUGAUUUGAGAGGAUGAUCAGCCACAUUGGGACUGAGACACGGCCCAAACUCCUACGGGAGGCAGCAGUGAGGAAUAUUGGACAAUGGGGGCAACCCUGAUCCAGCAAUGCCAUGUGUGUGAAGAAGGCCUUAGGGUUGUAAAGCACUUUAGUUGGGGAGGAAAGCCUUGAGGUUAAUAGCCUUGAGGAAGGACGUUACCCAAAGAAUAAGCACCGGCUAACUCCGUGCCAGCAGCCGCGGUAAUACGGGGGGUGCAAGCGUUAAUCGGAAUUACUGGGCGUAAAGAGUCUGUAGGUGGUUUGUUAAGUCAGAUGUGAAAGCCCAGGGCUCAACCUUGGAACUGCAUUUGAUACUGGCAAACUAGAGUACGGUAGAGGAAUGGGGAAUUUCUGGUGUAGCGGUGAAAUGCGUAGAGAUCAGAAGGAACACCAAUGGCGAAGGCAACAUUCUGGACCGAUACUGACACUGAGGGACGAAAGCGUGGGGAUCAAACAGGAUUAGAUACCCUGGUAGUCCACGCUGUAAACGAUGAGUACUAGCUGUUGGAGUCGGUGUAAAGGCUCUAGUGGCGCAGCUAACGCGAUAAGUACUCCGCCUGGGGACUACGGCCGCAAGGCUAAAACUCAAAGGAAUUGACGGGGACCCGCACAAGCGGUGGAGCAUGUGGUUUAAUUCGAUGCAACGCGAAGAACCUUACCUGGUCUUGACAUCCUGCGAACUUUCUAGAGAUAGAUUGGUGCCUUCGGGAACGCAGUGACAGGUGCUGCACGGCUGUCGUCAGCUCGUGUUGUGAAAUGUUGGGUUAAGUCCCGCAACGAGCGCAACCCCUAUUGAUAGUUACCAUCAUUAAGUUGGGUACUCUAUUGAGACUGCCGCUGACAAGGCGGAGGAAGGUGGGGACGACGUCAAGUCAUCAUGGCCCUUACGACCAGGGCUACACACGUGCUACAAUGGGUAUUACAGAGGGCUGCGAAGGUGCGAGCUGGAGCGAAACUCAAAAAGGUACUCUUAGUCC
Molecule: ribosomal RNA, 1168 nt
Filed under: Francisella endosymbiont of Hyalomma asiaticum
Lineage: Bacteria; Pseudomonadati; Pseudomonadota; Gammaproteobacteria; Thiotrichales; Francisellaceae
Description: bacterial SSU rRNA
Rfam family: Bacterial small subunit ribosomal RNA
Source: RNAcentral